UACGUAGGGUGCGAGCGUUGUCCGGAAUUAUUGGGCGUAAAGGGCUCGUAGGCGGUUUGUCGCGUCGGAAGUGAAAACUCAGGGCUUAACCCUGAGCCUGCUUCCGAUACGGGCAGACUAGAGGUAUGCAGGGGAGAACGGAAUUCCUGGUGUAGCGGUGAAAUGCGCAGAUAUCAGGAGGAACACCGGUGGCGAAGGCGGUUCUCUGGGCAUUACCUGACGCUGAGGAGCGAAAGUGUGGGGAGCGAACAGG
RNAcentral lists this ribosomal RNA (253 nucleotides) under uncultured bacterium. Its description in RNAcentral is "partial 16S ribosomal RNA". It matches the Rfam family "Bacterial small subunit ribosomal RNA", at positions 524 to 776 of the family's 1533-position model. The record is from RNAcentral.